UUAUUCUCAGUGAGGAGCAAAUGAGGCUAAAAUGUAGGCUCGCUGAGGACAGGACCCAGGUCUCACCUUCUUCAUCAUCUGCUUUCCAGAGCUUAACACAUACUUGAGAAAACUCUCCAUGGAAGGGGUUCUGCAUUUUUACUAAUAAGUGCCAUUGAACUGAAAAAUGUUUAAACCUGUAAAUCAUAAGUGCCUAGAUGUGGCGCUUGCUUAUUCAACAGUGCGGAGGCUGGAGGUCCUGAUGGCCUUUGUUUCCUCCUCCAGGAAGGGUCUGCGUGCCAUGAUUCCUUCCACCCCUCUCCCCACACACACCACCUAGAAUGUCAGCGAGAGGUUCAGUUCAUGGGAUGAGCAGCACAUAUCUGAGAAAUUAAUAUGGAAAAUAUCAAUUACAGUGGAUGAGCCUUAAGUAUCAGUUACACAUUAAUGCAUCUUAAUUUAAUCAGAUAAUUUCUGGGCACCCACUACUGGUCGCUUUUGUGCUAGGUGCGGUGUUUCUGUGGUCAGCACGGCACACAGCACUGGGGAGACGUAGUCAGCAAAGACGGGGCAAAUUUACCUUUAUGAUCAUUUCUGAGAGUGAGCAGUACAACAACCACAACAACAGGGGAGUAAUGAUGCAGCGUGACUUGGGAUGGAGAGAAAGUGUUAGUCAGGGGAUCAAGGACACCUCACAGAAGGGGUGUUUUUUGGUUUAAAAUCUGGAAUAGUUAAAGGUGCCAGCAGGGUACACCUGGGGAGGAAUUUUAUAAGCUAGAAUGAAGAGAAAGUCUAAAUGCCAAGAGGUGAGAAUAAGCACAGAAUUCCCACUGGGGCUCAGCAAGUUAAGAAGCCAACAUACAAGGGCAGGGAUCGAACCCGCAACCUCAUGGCCCCUAGUCAGAUUCGUUAACCACUGCGCCACGACGGGAACUCCAGAGUCACUGUCAGCUUUGAGCCCACUGCUUUACAUAAAUAUUAGGGGAAAAGAUCUCUCCUAAUAAGGGUUGAAAACAUACUUUUUUUUUUCCUGCUUUUUUAGGGCCUCACCCGCUGUAUAUGGAGGUUCCCAGGCUAGAGGUCAGAUCAGAACUACAGCUGCCGGCCUACACCACAGCCACAGCAAUGUGGGAUCCAAGCUGCAUUUGUGACCUACACCACAGCUCAUGGCAAUGCUGGAUCCUUAACCCCCUGAGUGAGACCAGGGAUCAAACCCGCAUCCUCAUGGAUCCUAGUCAGUUUCAUUAACCAGGAAAGCCAUGAAGGGAACUCUGAGAACCAUGAGCCAUGAAGGGAACUCAGAGAACAUACUUAUAAUAAAUGCCCCAAUUUUGCUUUCUAGAAGUGGAAAUCAUCAAGCUCGACAAGGAGGAGAAAAGGAAGCCACAUGCAGAAGGAAGGAAAGGGGAGCGACGGGUAGAAUGUGGAUGCUUAUGCACCAGACUCUAUCCAGGGUGAUACACAUUUAUCAUGUGUAAUCCUCAUAAACGAUGAGGUACUGGCCCCAUUAUCCUAGCCGGUAGAUAUGGAAACAGAGAGAGAGACUUAGCCAUGUCCCCUCAUAAUUCGCCGGGCUGAUGAAGGGCAUGGAGAAGGCAGAACUGCACACAGAAGGUAUCAGCUUCUGCUGUGUUUGCUGUUCUGAAAUCUGAGUCUUGCUGUGAACCGAAUGUCCUGCACAUUCUGUAUUUCCUGGUGCCAUCACAGUUCUCACCCCUCUGUGCCUACCCCUCUCCCUACACUCUUUCUCAGAUGGAAGACAGAACUAUGCCUAUGGCUGGCUGUGCUCAGAGCCCAUUCAGUGCUGCUGGGUGAGAAGGGCUGUUGUCCCAUGAUGACCCAUGUGGCUGGUGGGGCUUGGUGGGACCUGACACUUACACUGUAUCCAUAGUCAGGUAGGGGGCCCAACAUCUGCUAAGCUUUGCCCGCACACAUUCUAGUGAGGGUGGUGUGGGGGAGAGGGUGAGGAGAAUUUCUAUUUUCUAAUCCUAAAAAUCUCACUUUUAUGCACCAAAAAGGGGAGGGGUAAAAGGAGAAAGACUGAAGCAGUGCAGGGAAGAGAUUAAGAAAUUUCCUUGAGAGUGGAAGCCCUUCCUGGAAUAAUCAGUGCCAGAAGAAAAAGGCCACUGAAUUAGGAUAUAUUGGCAACUGUGCUGAAAUUUAAAAAAAAAAUAAAAAAGGAAAGGAGAGAAGCAGGUGAUUUAGCUUUGUCUAGUUGUGAGGUAGGAUUUAGGUGUGAGAAAAGGCCUUGCAGAGGAACCCAGAAUCCUUGGAAAAUGCACCCAGGGCCCCAAGAGACAUCCACCCUGCAAUCUGGUGGUUUUGGAUGUUCAGGACCCAAGAGCCUCCUCAGCAUCUCCUUCCCUCACCCUGGGGAAGGACACAGCUGCUGCAAGAAAAGGGGGUGCCCAGUGCCACCCAGGGCCAUUGCUCUCCCCCUGACCUGUGCUAAAGCCUUGUGUUGUUAAACCACAUAGAAGUGGGUAAAUACAGACCAGACGGAAUGAGCCAGUCAGGGCCUGGGCACAAUGGGCAAAAUAAGUCAGGGCUGCACACAGCCAUCCACCAGACCCCUUUCCCAAGACUUCUGAUCUCAGGGUCACCUCAGGAGAGGUGGAGAAGGGAGCCAGGAGCACUCAAACACCUCAGAAGAACCCACGCUGUUGCUGUGACAAUGCUGGAUCCUUAACCUGUGGCGCCACCAGGGAAGUCCUAAAGUAUACCACAUAUAUUUUAAAAAUUUAUUUAUUUAUUUUUUGCUUAUUUUUCUAGGGCCACACCCACAGCACAUGGAAGUUCCCAGGCUAGGAGUCAGAUCGGAGCUGCAGCUGCCAGCCUACACCACAGCCACAGCAACAUGGGAUCUGAGCCACGUCUGUGACCUACACCACAACUCACGGCAACCCCAGAUCCUUUUGCUCCACUGAGCAAAGCCAGGUAUCAAACUUGCAUCCUCAUGGAUCCUAGUCUGGUUCGUUAACUGCUAAGCCACGAAGGGAACUCGCCACAUAUUUUUAAAGCAAAAUAUCACUUUAGGCCAUUUCAAUAAUAAGUCCCGAAUAUCAUGUUAGUGGAAUCCUCCUUGCCCAAACUGAUUCCAUUUAAUUUGUUCAUUGAGGAACAAAUGCACAUUUGUUUAGGUAGAGGUACACUGACAUUCAGGUACCUGAUAUAUUUAAGGCAACAUGGAACAGAUAUUUCAUUUUCU
Molecule: long non-coding RNA, 3187 nt
Filed under: Sus scrofa (pig)
Lineage: Eukaryota; Metazoa; Chordata; Mammalia; Artiodactyla; Suidae
Description: lncRNA (ENSSSCG00055010707.1)
Source: RNAcentral